AUGGCAAAGCGAAGAAGAAGUUCAAAGGAUAAACCGAAUGGAGCAAUGGUCAAAAGAAAGAGACCGGGUUCUCAGUUGGGCGACUUACCCAUGGAUAUAUUGUGCCACAUCAUAUCAUUGUUACCGUUAAAAGAGGCUGUGAGGACAGGCAUUUUAUCCAAACACUGGAGAUAUGUUUGGUGUAGCCGAACAAACUUGGAGUUUUCUUUUAGAUCAGUGAUGCGAAGGAGUUAUAAAGGAGGACCUUUUAUUCUCCAUCCUAUACAAGAAGUUAUUAAGAGAAUUGAUGCAGUCUUAAAACAACACUCUGGAGUAGGGGUCGAGAAAAUGGAAGUUGAUUUUUCGCUAAACGAUGAACAUGCUAAUCACAUUGAUAGAUGGCUCAACUUUGCUAUUACAGCAAAGACAAAGCAGCUAAUUCUUAAUUUUACAUCUGUGCAUCCUACAAUGGAACCGUACAAGUUCCCUUUUCAGCUUUUCGAUGCCACCAAGAGUUCCAUCUUCCAGUCGUUGACACUUGGUUCUGUUUCUCUAAAUAAGCCUGCAAACUUCAAAGCUUUUUUAAACCUUAAAAAGCUUAUGUUAAUCUAUGUAAAUAUUACUGAUGAAGAACUUCAACUUCUGCUGUCCAACUGCAAAGUUUUCGGAGUUGCUCGUUGUCGAAUGCUCACAACCAUUAAGACACCUCAACUUUCAGACCACUUUAAGCAUUUGCGUGUCUUUCACUGCCCCUUGGUUCAAGAGAUAAAUUUGAAUUAUGGCUUGACAACACUUGAAUAUAAAUAUGAAGGUCCAUCAAUACCGAUAGCACCUCCUGUAACUUUGACAAACUUAAGCAUAGAGUCAUCAGAUGUUUGCUCAGCUCUUGCAUAUAUCUCCACUGAAUUGCCCAGUACGGUGCGUCGACUGGAGAUGCUGUCUCUAAAAUGUGAAGAACUUGAGAGAGCUAUUUUACCGGAGAAACCUCUCAAAUUUAUCCAUCUAAGGCACCUGAGAUUGGAAAUAACCUUUUAUCCCUGACGAAAAAAGUCCGAUGUCCUUGAUUUUGCCUCCCUCUUGGAGGCUGCUCCUUUAAUGGAAAAGCUGGAGUUUCAUAUGUGGAUGGACUGUGAAUGUGUACGAUACCGCAAGCUUGAUGGCAAGCUAAGGAGCCUACCUCCAAAGCCACACUACCAUCUCAAGUUGGUGGACAUUACGGGGUUUUAUGGUGAGAAAGAUCAGCUGGAGUUGGCACUUUAUAUCCUCAGGAAUUCUGUCGCGCUUGAGGCAAUGACAAUAGAUCCAAAGCCAACGGUAGCUGCUGAGCAGUGUCGUCUGACAUGGAAAAAAGACGGGUUUUCUUACGUGGAUGGCUACAGAGUUGCGAAGAAAUACCUUCUCAGGGCAGACCACCGCGGCGUUGUCGACGUUGUAAAAGCCGGGCGUAAGGAUAUCGAAGCUCUGAGGAACGCUCCGUAUAAGAUGCCUGAAGCUACAUAA
RNAcentral lists this ribosomal RNA (1479 nucleotides) under Triticum aestivum (bread wheat). Its description in RNAcentral is "partial small subunit ribosomal RNA". The record is from RNAcentral. Lineage: Eukaryota; Viridiplantae; Streptophyta; Magnoliopsida; Poales; Poaceae.